Molecule: ribosomal RNA, 518 nt
Filed under: Meyerozyma guilliermondii
Lineage: Eukaryota; Fungi; Ascomycota; Pichiomycetes; Serinales; Debaryomycetaceae
Description: LSU rRNA
Rfam family: Eukaryotic large subunit ribosomal RNA
Source: RNAcentral
CUUAGUAGCGGCGAGUGAAGCGGCAAAAGCUCAAAUUUGAAAUCUGGCGCCUUCGGUGUUUGUGUUGUAAUUUGAAGAUUGUAACCUUGGGGUUGGCUCUUUGUCUAUGUUUCUUGGAACAGGACGUCACAGAGGGUGAGAAUCCCGUGCGAUGAGAUGCCCAAUUCUAUGUAAGGUGCUUUCGAAGAGUCGAGUUGUUUGGGAAUGCAGCUCUAAGUGGGUGGUAAAUUCCAUCUAAAGCUAAAUAUUGGCGAGAGACCGAUAGCGAACAAGUACAGUGAUGGAAAGAUGAAAAGAACUUUGAAAAGAGAGUGAAAAAGUACGUGAAAUUGUUGAAAGGGAAGGGUUUGAGAUCAGACUCGAUAUUUUGUGAGCCUUGCCUUCGUGGCGGGGUGACCCGCAGCUUAUCGGGCCAGCAUCGGUUUGGGCGGUAGGAUAAUGGCGUAGGAAUGUGACUUUACUUCGGUGAAGUGUUAUAGCCUGCGUUGAUGCUGCCUGCCUAGACCGAGGACUGCGAU